This 253-nucleotide ribosomal RNA is filed under the name uncultured bacterium. RNAcentral's name for it is "partial 16S ribosomal RNA". It matches the Rfam family "Bacterial small subunit ribosomal RNA", at positions 524 to 776 of the family's 1533-position model. The record is from RNAcentral.
UACGGGGGGGGCAAGCGUUGUUCGGAAUUACUGGGCGUAAAGGGCUCGUAGGUGGCCAACUAAGUCAGACGUGAAAUCCCUCAGCUUAACUGGGGAACUGCGUCUGAUACUGGAUGGCUUGAGAUUGGGAGAGGGAUGCGGAAUUCCAGGUGUAGCGGUGAAAUUCGUAGAUAUCGAGAGGAACACCGGUGGCGAAGGCGGCCUUCUGGACAGUGACUGACGCUGAGACGCGAAAGCGUGGGGAGCAAACAGG